GAUGAACGCUAGCGGCAGGCCUAACACAUGCAAGUCGAGGGGUAGCAGGAUUAAGCUUGCUUAAUUGCUGACGACCGGCGCACGGGUGCGUAACGCGUAUGCAACCUACCUUAUACUGGGGUAUAGCCCGGAGAAAUUCGGAUUAAUCCCCCAUAGUACUAAUGAAUCGCAUGGUUUAUUAGUUAAAGCAUUGCGGUAUAAGAUGGGCAUGCGUCCUAUUAGCUAGAUGGUGAGGUAACGGCUCACCAUGGCUACGAUAGGUAGGGGGCCUGAGAGGGUGGUCCCCCACACUGGUACUGAGACACGGACCAGACUCCUACGGGAGGCAGCAGUGAGGAAUAUUGGUCAAUGGGCGCAAGCCUGAACCAGCCAUGUCGCGUGCGGGAAGAAUGCCCUAUGGGUCGUAAACUGCUUUUAUUUGGGAAUAGACCUCUUUACGUGUAGAGAGCUGAAGGUACCAAAUGAAUAAGCACCGGCUAACUCCGUGCCAGCAGCCGCGGUAA
RNAcentral lists this ribosomal RNA (503 nucleotides) under uncultured bacterium. Its description in RNAcentral is "partial 16S ribosomal RNA". It matches the Rfam family "Bacterial small subunit ribosomal RNA", at positions 28 to 523 of the family's 1533-position model. The record is from RNAcentral.